AACUGCACUUGGUUGUGUGGUUUGGUACCCAGGGUGAUUACUUUGAGGAAAUCAGAGUGCUUCCAGCAAGUGAAUGUCUUGCAUACAAAAGCAUGGAAUAAUGACAAAGUUCAUUGUUAUGCUUGUUGGUUUCGUAACGGGGAUAAGGAUUGAUGGGGAUGGUAGGGGGCAUUUGUAUUUAACUGUCAGAGGUGAAAUUCUUGGAUUUGUUAAAGACAAAAUAAUGUGAAUUCAUUCGCCAAGGAUGUAUUGCUUAAUCAAGAACGAAAGUUAGGGGAUCGAAGACGAUUAGAUACCGUCCUAGUCUUAACCAUAAAUUAUGCUACCAAGAAAUUGGAGGCGGUUGCCUGUUGAUUCGUUAGCCAUUUUUUGAGAAAUCAAAGUCUUUGAGUUCCAGGGGGAGUAUGGUCGCAAGACUGAAACUUAAAGGCAUGGACGGAAGGGCACCACCAGGAGGGGAGCCUGGGGGUUAAUUUGACUCAACUCGGGGAAACUCACCAGGUCCAGAUAUUGUACGGAUUGACAGAUAUAUAGCUCUUUGUAGAUUCUGCGGGUGGUGGUGCAUGGCCGU
This 571-nucleotide ribosomal RNA is filed under the name uncultured dinoflagellate. RNAcentral describes it as "bacterial SSU rRNA". It matches the Rfam family "Eukaryotic small subunit ribosomal RNA", at positions 715 to 1291 of the family's 1831-position model. The record is from RNAcentral. Lineage: Eukaryota; Dinophyceae.